AGACCAGACUCCUACGGGAGGCAGCAGUGAGGAAUAUUGGUCAAUGGUCGGGAGACUGAACCAGCCAAGCCGCGUGAGGGAGGAAGGUACAGGGUAUCGUAAACCUCUUUUGUCAGGGAACAAAGGCGGGGACGUGUCCCCGGAUGAGUGUACCUGAAGAAAAAGCAUCGGCUAACUACGUGCCAGCAGCCGCGGUAAUACGUAGGGAGCAAGCGUUGUCCGGAUUUACUGGGUGUAAAGGGUGCGUAGGCGGCUUUGCAAGUCAGAAGUGAAAUCCAUGGGCUUAACCCAUGAACUGCUUUUGAAACUGCAGAGCUUGAGUGGAGUAGAGGUAGGCGGAAUUCCCGGUGUAGCGGUGAAAUGCGUAGAGAUCGGGAGGAACACCAGUGGCGAAGGCGGGUUCCUGGACAUUAACUGACGCUGAGGCACGAAGGCCAGGGGAGCGAAAGGGAUUAGAUACCCUAGUAAG
This 469-nucleotide ribosomal RNA is filed under the name uncultured bacterium. RNAcentral describes it as "bacterial SSU rRNA". It matches the Rfam family "Bacterial small subunit ribosomal RNA", at positions 328 to 793 of the family's 1533-position model. The record is from RNAcentral.